Molecule: ribosomal RNA, 253 nt
Filed under: uncultured bacterium
Lineage: Bacteria
Description: partial 16S ribosomal RNA
Rfam family: Bacterial small subunit ribosomal RNA
Source: RNAcentral
UACAGAGGGUGCUAGCGUUGUUCGGAAUUACUGGGCGUAAAGGGCGCGUAGGCGGUUUGUUAAGUCAAACGUGAAAGCCCCGGGCUUAACCUGGGAUGUGCGUUUGAUACUGGCAAGCUAGAGAACGGUAGAGGAAAGUGGAAUUCCUAGUGUAGAGGUGAAAUUCGUAGAUAUUAGGAGGAACACCAGAGGCGAAGGCGGCUUUCUGGACCGAUUCUGACGCUGAGGCGCGAAAGCGUGGGGAGCAAAUGGG